GACGAACGCUGGCGGCGUGCUUAACACAUGCAAGUCGAACGGAAAGGCCCUGCUUUUGUGGGGUGCUCGAGUGGCGAACGGGUGAGUAACCCGUGAGUAACCUGCCCUUGCCUUUGGGAUAACUUCAGGAAACUGGGGCUAAUACCGGAUAGGAGCUCCUGCUGCAUGGUGGGGGUUGGAAAGUUUCGGCGGUUGGGGAUGGACUCGCGGCUUAUCAGCUUGUUGGUGGGGUAGUGGCUUACCAAGGCUUUGACGGGUAGCCGGCCUGAGAGGGUGACCGGCCACAUUGGGACUGAGAUACGGCCCAGACUCCUACGGGAGGCAGCAGUGGGGAAUAUUGCACAAUGGGCGGAAGCCUGAUGCAGCAACGCCGCGUGCGGGAUGACGGCCUUCGGGUUGUAAACCGCUUUCGCCUGUGACGAAGCGUGAGUGACGGUAAUGGGUAAAGAAGCACCGGCUAACUACGUG
Molecule: ribosomal RNA, 468 nt
Filed under: uncultured bacterium
Lineage: Bacteria
Description: partial 16S ribosomal RNA
Rfam family: Bacterial small subunit ribosomal RNA
Source: RNAcentral